UCUCCCCGCCGCCGCAGCCCAUGAUGGAAUUUCCUCCCUCGUCGCUUCCCCGCACGGCCGCACGCCACCGUCGCCGCCUACGCCUCCGGAUCCCUCGCCCGCCUCGCGGCCACUCACGCCAACAUCCUCGCCCUGGACGACUCCCUAUUGUUGCUCAUCGCGCCCCUCUCCGCCACCCCGUCUCCCCGCUUAGCCUCAUGCCUCGUCAAGGCCGUAGCCACGCUCGUUUCCUGCGUCCUCCGCUCCGGCCCCGCCGGUUCGCGCUAAGCCCCCAACAACCACCCUUCCGUCCAGGCUCUCGCUUCGGGCGCUGACGGGGCACGCUCGGAGCUGUCACGGCAGGCGGCCAGGAUGGUCGCCGAGGGGUUGGACGGCGUGGUGUUGUUCCCGAGGCUGUUUGUGAUGUUUGUCGUGCUGAGGAAGGGGACGCCGCGUUCGCAAGGGAUUUGAUUGCUCGGCGAGAUCUUGCUGCAUUUCGACCGCGGGGAUGGGGAGGAUAAUGAAACAACUUCAUCUGAAGCUUUAUAUAACUCACCUAAGCUUCUACAUGGUGUGUUUGACCAGUUACUCGAUGAUCUGCUCAACACUAGGUGUCGUAAUAUAUAAUUCAACACAAACAGGGUCUUGAGGUUAAUAACUGUGUAAGCAUAUAAGAUCAUCUAUUUCUGGAGUUAAUUUAUGUUUUCAGGAUAUCGGCUUGGAUGGUGACUAUAUCCUACUUGGUACUUCUACUCUUACAUAAAUUCAGAUAUGCUCAAUUGUCACCAUCUAUUCAGUUGCAUACUUGAAUGAGGGUUCUUGAGGUUCUAAUGUGAUAUAUUGGAGCAUCAGAAAGUCUUGUAUUAUCUUGUUGAAAAGAAGAUGUUUUCUUAGCUACAAUGGAGAUCCUGAUACUAAUGAAAAUGCAUUCAAUGUUAGUCAUAUCUGGUCUGAUUGCUCAACCUAUGAUUCAUUCCAUGCAUGUCUUGGUGUAUAGUUGUCCUCUUCACACAAAUAGUUCCUGGAGGUUAAUGAUCACGACAUUGGAAAUCCAGUGUCUGCUUCUACAUGUGCUACUUGUUCAAUGUCUAUAAGAAGAUGCUGCGAUCUGCACUUCUGUAGUAAGUUCAUCUAUCUUUUUUGCUUAAAAUAAGUACUGAUGAAAUUAUGAUAUCUUAAAAACUAAAAGAUGGGAUGUGCUUGUUAUUCUUCGACAUGCUAUUUCAGAACAACACAACCUCUGGCCCUAUUAUUGAUAACAUAGGUAGGCUGGGGAUGAUACAUGCGGUUGCAUGUCAGAGUCAUGUUACGAAGUCCAGUGUCUGCUUCUGCAUGUGCUCCAUGUUUCAUGUCUAUAGGAACA
Triticum aestivum (bread wheat) is the source of this 1342-nucleotide long non-coding RNA. RefSeq lists it as uncharacterized. NCBI's taxonomy places the organism in Eukaryota, Viridiplantae, Streptophyta, Magnoliopsida, Poales, Poaceae. The transcript has 3 exons. The record is from RefSeq and is a predicted model, not a curated record.